RNAcentral lists this small nuclear RNA (318 nucleotides) under Otolemur garnettii (small-eared galago). Its description in RNAcentral is "7SK RNA". It matches the Rfam family "7SK RNA". Rfam says of the family: 7SK was discovered as an abundant small nuclear RNA in the mid-70s but a possible function has only recently been suggested. Two independent studies have found that 7SK RNA binds the CDK9/cyclin T complex (known as elongation factor P-TEFb). The record is from Rfam by way of RNAcentral. Lineage: Eukaryota; Metazoa; Chordata; Mammalia; Primates; Galagidae.
AGAUGUGAGAGUGGUGUGUCUGUGAUAUCUCUCAGCCCACUGACCACCAGGGUUGAUUCAGCUGAUCUGGCUGACCAGGUAGGUGUCCCCUUCCUUCCUCUCUGCCCCACGUGUGUCCGUUGUGAAGCUCUGUCCUCUGUCAACAAGGACCCUUCUUUGGUCAAGGGUAUACCAGUACCUGCACUCUCCUGCUAGAACCUCCAAACAAGCUCUCAAAGAAUGAGCUUCUCUGGCUUUGUCUCCAGCCUGUGUUCGGUUGCAGGGGGACUGCUGCAGGCUUCCUCUCCUAGUUCUCCAGCACUAGGUCUGCAGUUCCUG